UUCAGCAAGGAUGAGCAUAUAUA
RNAcentral lists this non-coding RNA (23 nucleotides) under Mus musculus (house mouse). The record is from RNAcentral. Lineage: Eukaryota; Metazoa; Chordata; Mammalia; Rodentia; Muridae.